UCAUUUUUAGCGCUGUAAUUAUUUUUAAAAAAAUAAUUAUUUUCUCUUGACCUCCCAUUUAAAUUCUUUAAUUUAUCGUAAAGGACUUCUCAUGUGACGUCACACUGUACGGAACAUAGUUGUUGAACCGUUCCUUGUCGUUUAAUUCGUGUUCCGUGAGAGUUUGACGUUUUCCUCGCUGACUGUGGGAGGAAUGAGAGGAACUUGGCCGGUGGCUGCGAGGUUGACAGGUUGGUGUUGGUGGUUAGUACCGUAAAUGGCGGUUAAUUUCUUCGAAAUUAAUUUUUAUUUCAACUAAGUUUGGAAGUAUAGUAAAAAGUUACCACCACUUGUUUCCUGGAGUAAGGAUGGGAGUACCAUCAGUGGAAGAGGAAUAAAAAAUUAACCGCCAUUUGGAAGAAAACUAACCCUCAUGUGAUGUCGUACCCACCUUGACUACCUAGGGAAGCCACCUUGACCUUAUUGCAGCUACCGCCAAGUCAAACUGGGAGUAUGUUUUGGGAACAAGCUUUUUGGGGGACAUUCCAGCUCCUUUUCGUCCUGCCACCUGGGCCUACGGGGGGGGGGGCAUGGAGGUGCAUCAUAGUGAUGCUCAUUUUCUAGGAUGCAACCGCAACCUCGUUUGGGAACAUUCAGUGAGGUGUUUAGUAACUAUUGGGUUUUUUUUAUAUUUCAGACAUUUGAUUAAAUACACUAUGUUUUUUUUCCAGAUUUAGGUUACCUCUGGUUUUUUUUUUUGACAUAUUUGUAUAUUAGAUUAUUUGGUUCCCAAACUUUGUAUCUACGGUAACUUCUUGUGCACAGGAAUAAGCCUAGAGAAAAUUAGGUUUUUAAUACUUUAUUAUUGCUUUGAUAUUGGUUUAUGUAAUUCGGGCAAAUUUAUUUUUUAAUAUUACUAGCUUGUUUCCCAAAUAUUUUACUGUUAUUUGCUUUAUUCCAUUUGUUCGGUUAAUUUAGGUCAUCGUCGGUAUUUAUCUCAACUUCAUUUCUACUUUAUUCAUUGUAUAUCUAACUUUGCUUAAUUCAUUUAGUAUUUUCCCUUAGUUAGGCUCAUGCCUAUUUACAUAUAUUUAUUUAUAUUACUUUUAAUAUUCAUCGGUUUUCCUUUAGUUGUACGUAGCAGGCGUACUAUAACCAUUUGGUAGAAGACUUAUGUAAUUUUGUACCCUAUAUGUUAGUGAAAGGUAUUUAUACCUGUAAUUUUGUAACAGGUAACAUUGUUGUUAUCUUAGGUUGAACAUAACUUUUGCAAACUUUUGUCAUGUUAGAGUCACAUAAUAUGAACUUGUUUAACUCAGAGAUUGUUAAAAAUCUGGUAGUUCAUUUUAAUAAAUGUUUAUUUAUUUUGUAUAUCAUUUAUUUUUUUAUUACUCCUUUAUUUUAUGUUCAUUAUUACAGGUUUAAUAUAUUUAAUAUUUGACAGCAGUGUAAGAUACCUGGGAGAAUGAUCGAAGAUCAUUUUCAUGGCGCCCAUGAUUAGUUAGUUUUAUUUAUUUUGUUCGUUUUUAGUCAUUAGUCAUCUCCAUUCAUUUUCAGUACAUUAUUCUUAUUUUAUUAUUUCAUAUUUUAGUCAUUAUUACUAUCUACAUAGAGCUACUGUUCUUCGACAGGCAUGCAAACGAGCCGUAUCCAUCCUUGAGUGUCAAGUUGCUCUCUUGCAUCUAUAGCUAGCCAACUCUAUUCAGUUUGCCUCUGUCUCUUCCCACAUCUACUUAUUAUCCCUUCUAAUUCCCCUUUCUUCAGUACUACUGCAAAGUAGUAUUUUUUAUUUUUCCUACUUCUUCUCAACGUAGAAGCCACUUCACUCUCUUCAUUUUUAUACCUAGUCUUUUCUUUUCUUCAUUUUUUUCCUUACUUCUGUUGGAGUACCUAUAUCUUUCUUUUUACUUUCACUCCAACAGAAGUUUUCUUAUUUUUGUUACACAAACACCCCCUUAUUCGAGCCCUUUAAACCCACCCCAAUUAAAAAGUAAGGGAUCUAUCGGAAUUUAAUUUACACAGUAUUAUAGUUCUCCGAAAAUCCUACAAAACAUUUUUUGAAAAAACUUUUUAUCGCCAAUAAUGAAAGAGCUAUGUUUAUAAAACGCGUUUUUUUUUCGAAAUAUUCGAAUAGUCCGCUUGUGGAACAUUUUCAAUGCAUGUAUAAUACCAUAGAGCUAGUUCGAAUACUGAAAGAUGACUUAAUAACAAUGUGUAUUUGUACUUCUACAUAUUUGUAAAUUUGUAUUUUUGUGUAAAUAAAUGUUCUUGUAAUUCUUUAA
Molecule: long non-coding RNA, 2261 nt
Organism: Diabrotica virgifera virgifera (western corn rootworm)
Lineage: Eukaryota; Metazoa; Arthropoda; Insecta; Coleoptera; Chrysomelidae
Exons: 2
Source: RefSeq, a predicted model, not a curated record